AGUGAACGCUGGCGGUAGGCCUAACACAUGCAAGUCGAACGGCAGCACAGUAAGAGCUUGCUCUUACGGGUGGCGAGUGGCGGACGGGUGAGGAAUACAUCGGAAUCUACUUUUUCGUGGGGGAUAACGUAGGGAAACUUACGCUAAUACCGCAUACGACCUACGGGUGAAAGCAGGGAAUCUUCGGACCUUGCGCGAUUGAAUGAGCCGAUGUCGGAUUAGCUAGUUGGCGGGGUAAAGGCCCACCAAGGCGACGAUCCGUAGCUGGUCUGAGAGGAUGAUCAGCCACACUGGAACUGGGACACGGUCCAGACUCCUACGGGAGGCAGCAGUGGGGAAUAUUGGACAAUGGGCGCAAGCCUGAUCCAGCCAUACCGCGUGGGUGAAGAAGGCCUUCGGGUUGUAAAGCCCUUUUGUUGGGAAAGAAAAGCAGCAGGUUAAUACCCCGCUGUUCUGACGGUACCCAAAGAAUAAGCACCGGCUAACUUCGUG
Molecule: ribosomal RNA, 492 nt
Filed under: uncultured bacterium
Lineage: Bacteria
Description: partial 16S ribosomal RNA
Rfam family: Bacterial small subunit ribosomal RNA
Source: RNAcentral